CAACAGAAGAUUUGCAUGGCACAAGGAUGACACACAAAUUCGUGAAGAGUUCCAUUUUUUU
This 61-nucleotide small nuclear RNA is filed under the name Salvator merianae (Argentine black and white tegu). Lineage: Eukaryota; Metazoa; Chordata; Lepidosauria; Squamata; Teiidae. The record is from RNAcentral.